CGUUUUACUGCUAUCCGGUGGCUCGAUCUUCACUCAAUGGAUGUUUAGGGUGACUUUCCGACAUCCAUGACUAUAUUUCCAGUAAGGCUUGCAACGGUUGCACCUAGGGUUUUCUCUGAUUGACUGAAGGUCGAUCUUCUCCGGUCGCGAAGAAGGAGGGUAACUCUGUACUUCUCUUGAGUAUUGUAUACUUUGUGUGUGAUUAUUUGGCAUCGUGUGUGAAUAUCUGGUUUCGUGAUAUUUUGCUUGUCGAAACUGUUUUUCUUUUCAAAUUGGUGCAUUAAUCAUGACUUCUAAUACGAAUACUGGUACCUCCUCCUCGGUAGACUCUACCAGUCCUCUAUUUGUAUACUCCUCUGAUGUGCCUGGGGUCUCUCUUGUUC
RNAcentral lists this long non-coding RNA (383 nucleotides) under Nicotiana benthamiana. Its description in RNAcentral is "long non-coding RNA (NBEN_LNC004018)". Lineage: Eukaryota; Viridiplantae; Streptophyta; Magnoliopsida; Solanales; Solanaceae. The record is from RNAcentral.